CGGGAUGUUCAUAACCCUUUGUUGUCCGACUCUGUUGCCUCCGGGGCGACCCUGCCUUCGGGCGGGGGCUCCGGGUGGACACUUCAAACUCUUGCGUAACUUUGCAGUCUGAGUAAACUUAAUUAAUAAAUUAAAACUUUUAACAACGGAUCUCUUGGUUCUGGCAUCGAUGAAGAACGCAGCGAAAUGCGAUAAGUAAUGUGAAUUGCAGAAUUCAGUGAAUCAUCGAAUCUUUGAACGCACAUUGCGCCCCCUGGUAUUCCGGGGGGCAUGCCUGUUCGAGCGUCAUUUCACCACUCAAGCCUCGCUUGGUAUUGGGCAACGCGGUCCGCCGCGUGCCUCAAAUCGACCGGCUGGGUCUUCUGUCCCCUAAGCGUUGUGGAAACUAUUCGCUAAAGGGUGCUCGGGAGGCUACGCCGUAAAACAACCCCAUUUCUAAGGUUGACCUCGGAUCAGGUAGGGAUACCCGCUGAACUUAAGCAUAUCAAUAAGCGGAGGAA
RNAcentral lists this ribosomal RNA (500 nucleotides) under Cladosporium sp. TA26-2. Its description in RNAcentral is "eukaryotic LSU rRNA". The stretch from base 135 to 288 matches the Rfam family "5.8S ribosomal RNA". Lineage: Eukaryota; Fungi; Ascomycota; Dothideomycetes; Cladosporiales; Cladosporiaceae. The record is from RNAcentral.